UAUACCAGGGCAGGAAGGACCACUUGCUCUUCUUAUCAUGGGAUGAACUUUGUGGUGCUCUUUGGGUUUCAGGCUUCCCCUUUGGAUCAGAAAGGUCACCUCACAUCUCAAGUGUAAAUCAUGAUUCAAAACUCCAACUUGGCCACAUUUUGACAAGGAGUCUUGGUAUAAUUUCCUUAUCCUUGGAGCAACUUACCCCUUAGCUUGUAAGAAGUUGUAAAUAUUGAAAAUGUAUAAACAAUACAAGUGCAUCGUGGUCUACAGUUCAGAACAAAAGAGCCCCUCGAAGGAGAAUGUAUCUGACUGAAGGAAUCUGAUUGCUUCUGGGAAGUGAAGUGGAAGUCUGGCUUUGAAUGUAAAGUGCUUCUGGCUACAGCUAUUCAGAGCAGUAUUUCUUGUCCUGUCAGGCACAUGAGAGGUUUAUACUCCCUGUUCUCUUGGAGUCAGUCUUGAUCAACAGAUUUUGUUUAGUC
This is a non-coding RNA of Microcebus murinus (gray mouse lemur), 473 nucleotides long. NCBI's taxonomy places the organism in Eukaryota, Metazoa, Chordata, Mammalia, Primates, Cheirogaleidae. The record is from RefSeq and is a predicted model, not a curated record.